GGGUCAGUAGGUUGGUCGUGCCACCGGUACGUACUGGUCUCACUGAUUCCUCCUUCCUGAAGAACCGUAAUGCCAUUAAUUUGGUGUUGCGGGGAAACAGGACUGUUACUUUGAAAAAAUUAGAGUGUUUAAAGCAAGCUAACGCUUGAAUACAUUAGCAUGGAAUAAUGAAAUAGGACGAUCGAUCCUAUUUUGCUGGUUUCUAGGAUUGACGCA
This 216-nucleotide ribosomal RNA is filed under the name Glomeromycotina sp. RNAcentral describes it as "partial small subunit ribosomal RNA". The stretch from base 44 to 216 matches the Rfam family "Eukaryotic small subunit ribosomal RNA", at positions 690 to 864 of the family's 1831-position model. The record is from RNAcentral. Lineage: Eukaryota; Fungi; Glomeromycota.